CACAGCCCCACGAUAACCCUGAGCUCAGCGGGGCAGCGGCCGGGCCCGGGCGGGGCGGCCGGCAGGGAGAGGGUUCUCUGCGUUCGGGCACAGGGAACUCGCUCUGCCCGCGCACCGUGAAACACGCGGGGAAAAAACAAAACCAAAAGCCUCCUGACAUUAGAGAAAGUGUGCGAGCAGCGUUUCCGGUAGAGCAGCAGUACUCAGGGCUUUCUUGGAUGCGCUGUGAAGACAGAAGUGAAGCUGUGAAUCGAGGUUAAUUGAAAUGCUUACGUGAUGGUGAUGUGCCAGAUUCCCUGCUCCUCUAUCAUCCCAUCAAUUCCAACAGUUGGUCCCUGUAGGAGAGGGGACUCUUCACUAUUACAUUUUCAUCCUUUUCUAGUCAACUAAUUUAAAACUAAUAAAGUACUUUUUUCACUGGGCCUACUGCUAACU
This 435-nucleotide long non-coding RNA is filed under the name Manacus vitellinus (golden-collared manakin). RNAcentral's name for it is "lncRNA (ENSMVIG00005003107.1)". Lineage: Eukaryota; Metazoa; Chordata; Aves; Passeriformes; Pipridae. The record is from RNAcentral.